RNAcentral lists this unclassified non-coding RNA (311 nucleotides) under Hevea brasiliensis (rubber tree). The record is from RNAcentral. Lineage: Eukaryota; Viridiplantae; Streptophyta; Magnoliopsida; Malpighiales; Euphorbiaceae.
UGGUAAUGGUACUGUUUUUGCUGGAUUUCCGGCUGCCGAUCUUAAGACAGCUGUGGAAACUGCUGGAGAUACUACACAGACGAGUGUUCAAAUCAAAAUUGUGGGUACCCAGUUUGGAGUUGGCUCUCCUAAUGUACCUAUGCCCUCCAAUAUCUCUUUGGAAAAUGAUGGGUUUAUUUGCCCUAAACCCUCUAUGCAAGGAAAGAGUGUUAUGCAAGUAUGCUGUAUUAAAGACGAAAAUUUCAAGACAAAUUUGACGUUGGGUGAGAAAUUUAGUCCACGCCAAGAUGGGGAUCUUACAAUUAUGUAUG